Molecule: ribosomal RNA, 868 nt
Filed under: uncultured archaeon
Lineage: Archaea
Description: bacterial SSU rRNA
Rfam family: Archaeal small subunit ribosomal RNA
Source: RNAcentral
CUCCGGUUGAUCCUGCCGGACCUGACUGCUAUCGGAUUGGUACUAAGCCAUGCGAGUCAUUGUAGCAAUACAAGGCGGACGGCUCAGUAACACGUAGUCAACCUAACUCGUGGACGUGGAUAACCUCGGGAAACUGAGAAUAAACCACGAUAGACCAUAGUGCCUGGAAUGGCUUAUGGUCCAAACAGUUUACUGCCAUGGGAUGGGACUGCGGCCUAUCAGCUUGUUGGUGAGGUAAUGGCCCACCAAGGCGAUUACAGGUACGGGCUCUGAGAGGAGAAGCCCGGAGAUGGGUACUGAGACACGGACCCAGGCCCUAUGGGGCGCAGCAGGCGAGAAACCUUAGCAAUGUGCGAAAGCACGACUGGGUCAGUCCGAGUGAUUCCUGAUAAAGGAGUCUUUUGCUUGUCCUAAAAGCACAGGUGAAUAAGGGGUGGGCAAGUCUGGUGUCAGCCGCCGCGGUAAUACCAGCACCUCGAGUGGUCAGGACGUUUAUUGGGCCUAAAGCAUCCGUAGCCGGCUUUGCAAGUCUUCGGUUAAAUCCACCUGCUCAACAGAUGGGCUGCUGGAGAUACUACAAAGCUAGGGAGUGGGAGAGGCAGACGGUAUUCAGUGGGUAGGGGUAAAAUCCUCUGAUCCAUUGAGGACCACCAGUGGCGAAGGCGGUCUGCCAGAACACGUUCGACGGUGAGGGAUGAAAGCUGGGGGAGCAAACCGGAUUAGAUACCCGGGUAGUCCCAGCUGUAAACGAUGCAAACUCGGUGAUGCAUUGGCUUAUGGCCAAUGCAGUGCCGCAGGGAAGCCGUUAAGUUUGCCGCCUGGGAAGUACGGACGCAAGUCUGAAACUUAAAGGAAUUGGCGGGGAGCA